This 253-nucleotide ribosomal RNA is filed under the name uncultured bacterium. RNAcentral's name for it is "partial 16S ribosomal RNA". It matches the Rfam family "Bacterial small subunit ribosomal RNA", at positions 524 to 776 of the family's 1533-position model. The record is from RNAcentral.
UACGUAGGGGGCAAGCGUUGUCCGGAAUCAUUGGGCGUAAAGAGCGCGUAGGCGGUCCGGUAAGUCCGCUCUGAAAGUCAAGGGCUCAACCCUUGAAUGCGGGUGGAUACUGCCGGGCUAGAGUCCGGAAGAGGCGAGUGGAAUUCCUGGUGUAGCGGUGAAAUGCGCAGAUAUCGGGAGGAACACCUAUGGCGAAGGCAGCUCGCUGGGACGUUACUGACGCUGAGACGCGAAAGCGUGGGGAGCAAACAGG